GCCUUAUUCAUAAAAAGUUACAACCUAUUUAAAACGUUGUUGAUGUGCGGAUGUCAAAAAACCUUAUUCAUAAACGCACAUUAGCGCUAAACAGUGCAUCAUCUCUUGUGUAAAUCCUCGAAAUUUUAAAAUGAGCCCGACCCUAGUUUAACGGGAUUUUAUCUCUAAUAUACAAGAUGGCCGCCUCACAUCAGCUGGUUUUUGACAGCAACUCAUGAACUGAUAUGAACCCUCCGAGACGAGUGUUUGUUGCCUGUUCUUACAUUUUAUCAGAAAAAUGUAUUAUGUGUAAUUAAAUUGACAAGCUAAAAUUAUUAUGAAGUGGCGCAAAACCAAAAUAAUAUGUGUUGUGUGCAAUGCGGUCUACUUAUAUACCUAAAUUGAAGGAGGUAAGACUUUUGAUCGUGUCGAAGAAAAAGUGCAUUAUAUAGGGAAAUAGUUCAGAGGAUUGGUGGUAGAAAUAGGUAAAAAUGUUGUCUGGCAGUAAUGAAACUUUUAAUGAAGCGAUGUGACCUAUGCUGGCAUGUUACUGGAAAAGUUAUGUCUAAUUUGGCCAUCAAGUGAAGAAAAGUCAUCACAGUUUGCUGCUCCCUCUGCUGGCUCGGUCCCAAGCUGAAGAUGGAAUUGUCAGAAUCUGAAAAAGACACAUCAGACAUAAAUAAAAUAUUUUUAAUGAACA
Molecule: long non-coding RNA, 679 nt
Organism: Leguminivora glycinivorella
Lineage: Eukaryota; Metazoa; Arthropoda; Insecta; Lepidoptera; Tortricidae
Exons: 3
Source: RefSeq, a predicted model, not a curated record